CGCGGGAUGGAGAAGUGGUAUCUCGUCUGGCUCAUAACCAGAAGGUCGCGGGUCCGAUUCCCGCUCCCGCAA
RNAcentral lists this transfer RNA (72 nucleotides) under bacterium. RNAcentral describes it as "tRNA-Met". It matches the Rfam family "tRNA". From Rfam's summary of the family: Transfer RNA (tRNA) molecules are approximately 80 nucleotides in length. Their secondary structure includes four short double-helical elements and three loops (D, anti-codon, and T loops). The record is from RNAcentral.